AUUGAACGCUGGCGGUAUGCUUUACACAUGCAAGUCGAACGGUAACAGGUUAAGCUGACGAGUGGCGAACGGGUGAGUAAUGCAUCGGAACGUGCCCGAUCGUGGGGGAUAACGCAGCGAAAGCUGCGCUAAUACCGCAUACGAUCUGAGGAUGAAAGCGGGGGACCGUAAGGCCUCGCGCGAUCGGAGCGGCCGACGUCAGAUUAGGUAGUUGGUGGGGUAAAGGCUCACCAAGCCGACGAUCUGUAGCUGGUCUGAGAGGACGACCAGCCACACUGGGACUGAGACACGGCCCAGACUCCUACGGGAGGCAGCAGUGGGGAAUUUUGGACAAUGGGCGAAAGCCUGAUCCAGCAAUGCCGCGUGCAGGAAGAAGGCCUUCGGGUUGUAAACUGCUUUUGUACGGAGCGAAAAGGCUCUCUCUAAUACAGGGGGCUCAUGACGGUACCGUAAGAAUAAGCACCGGCUAACUACGUGCCAGCCGCCGCGGUAA
RNAcentral lists this ribosomal RNA (493 nucleotides) under uncultured bacterium. RNAcentral describes it as "partial 16S ribosomal RNA". It matches the Rfam family "Bacterial small subunit ribosomal RNA", at positions 29 to 523 of the family's 1533-position model. The record is from RNAcentral.